RNAcentral lists this transfer RNA (70 nucleotides) under Tropiocolotes steudneri. RNAcentral's name for it is "tRNA-Val". The record is from RNAcentral. Lineage: Eukaryota; Metazoa; Chordata; Lepidosauria; Squamata; Gekkonidae.
CAGGAAGUAGCUUACACCCUCAAAGCACUCAACCUACAAUUGAACCCACAUCCACCAUGGAUCUUCCUGA